This is a small nucleolar RNA of Cavia porcellus (domestic guinea pig), 104 nucleotides long. It matches the Rfam family "Small nucleolar RNA U13". The record is from Rfam. NCBI's taxonomy places the organism in Eukaryota, Metazoa, Chordata, Mammalia, Rodentia, Caviidae.
AUUCUUUUGUGACUCAUAAACCUGAUGAUUGGAUUUUCAUACCAUUCUGUGAGAUGUGACUUCCUCAAACCCUGUUAGGAUGUGGGUGUACAGCCCAUCAAAUG